Molecule: ribosomal RNA, 456 nt
Filed under: uncultured bacterium
Lineage: Bacteria
Description: bacterial SSU rRNA
Rfam family: Bacterial small subunit ribosomal RNA
Source: RNAcentral
UACGGGAGGCAGCAGUGGGGAAUAUUGCACAAUGGGCGAAAGCCUGAUGCAGCUAUGCCGCGUGUAUGAAGAAGGCCUUAGGGUUGUAAAGUACUUUCAUCGGGGAGGAAAAACAAAACUAAUAAUUUUAUUUCUUGACGUUACCCGAAAAAGAAGCACCGGCUAACUCCGUGUCAGCAGCCGCGGUAAUACGGAGGGUGCUAGCGUUAAUCAGAAUUACUGGGCGUAAAGAGCACGUAGGUGGUUUUUUUAAGUCAGAUGUGAAAUCCCUGGGCUUAACCUAGGAACUGCAUUUUGAAACUGAAAUACUAGAGUAUCGUAGAGGGAGGUAGAAUUCUAGGUGUAGCGGUGAAAUGCGUAGAUAUCUGGAGGAAUACCUGUGGCGAAAGCGGCCUCCUAAACGAAUACUGACACUGAGGGUGCGAAAGCGUGGGGAGCAAACAGGGAUUAGAUACC